UGAUAGCUAUGAAGCGUGAGGUUGCUGCACAUGAUGCAGGUUUUUCCGUGGAGCGAAUGUCAAGUUAUGAAACUGGCGACAA
RNAcentral lists this non-coding RNA (82 nucleotides) under chicken gut metagenome. RNAcentral's name for it is "S10-Clostridia ribosomal protein leader". It matches the Rfam family "S10-Clostridia ribosomal protein leader". The record is from RNAcentral.